This 75-nucleotide transfer RNA is filed under the name Candidatus Bathyarchaeota archaeon. RNAcentral's name for it is "tRNA-Val". It matches the Rfam family "tRNA". From Rfam's summary of the family: Transfer RNA (tRNA) molecules are approximately 80 nucleotides in length. Their secondary structure includes four short double-helical elements and three loops (D, anti-codon, and T loops). RNAcentral also lists the same sequence under 1 other name. Lineage: Archaea; Thermoproteati; Candidatus Bathyarchaeota. The record is from RNAcentral.
GGGCCGGUCGUCUAGCUUGGUUUGGAUGCCACCCUUACGAGGUGGUGGUCGUGGGUUCAACUCCCACCCGGCCCA